GGCACGGCGGGGAGGUCAGCGCGGCGGGCGUGGCGGGCCUGUUCGCACGGGAAGCGCUGGGCGGGCUGGCGUUCGGGGCGCUGCUGGGCGGCC
This 93-nucleotide transfer RNA is filed under the name Deinococcus arenae. RNAcentral describes it as "tRNA-Ala". Lineage: Bacteria; Thermotogati; Deinococcota; Deinococci; Deinococcales; Deinococcaceae. The record is from RNAcentral.